Molecule: long non-coding RNA, 434 nt
Organism: Arabidopsis lyrata subsp. lyrata
Lineage: Eukaryota; Viridiplantae; Streptophyta; Magnoliopsida; Brassicales; Brassicaceae
Exons: 2
Source: RefSeq, a predicted model, not a curated record
CAUGUGAGGGAGAAGAACAAUGAAAAUGAAGAAAACAACCACACAAGCUUUUCUUCUUCUAUGUUUGCUUCAUAUAUUUCUAUGUCUAUCCUUUCAGGCUCGUGUCCACCAAGGUAAACCUGAGAUAUGCGUAAGACCCUCCCCACCAUGUGGAGAUUCUCCCAAGGGAGGUGAAGAUACGCCGGCACGUGAUUAUAAAAAGCCUUGUAAACCCAUUCCAAGACCUCCUCCUCCUCGAGAUUGCUAGCAACGACAAGCCUACCACAUCUAUAACAUCAAUGUUUUGUUUAGUAACCAUUCAUCGAGACUAAUUUAUUUGCACGAUGUACCAAUAAUAUCGCUUUAAUUAUGCCUUGUUUCUUUCAAAACUUCUAUGUAUUUGUAGCAAAAAAAAUAACUAAAAGAUGAGAAUAAUAAGGAUGUUGUAGAGGUUA